This is a long non-coding RNA of Perca fluviatilis (European perch), 402 nucleotides long. RefSeq lists it as uncharacterized. NCBI's taxonomy places the organism in Eukaryota, Metazoa, Chordata, Actinopteri, Perciformes, Percidae. The record is from RefSeq and is a predicted model, not a curated record. The transcript has 3 exons.
UAUUUUUUCCCCUCCAAUUUCACUGAAUAAGUUAUAUCGUAACGUACAAACUUUCGUUUCCUGGCAUCAGGGGAAACACCUGCAUUUAGACGAGGAAAGUAUUAAUUUCCACUUUUGUAAGUGGGCAAGAUCUCAAGCUGUAAAACUCACUCAAACAAAGCAAACGAUUGCUAAAAGAACAAAAUUAAGUAAAACUCUCCUUUAUAUGGAAGCCCAUUUCCACCACUUGGAAAUCAACCUACCGGAUACAAAUAUGGUACUACUGACUGGAAGACUGUUGGGAACAACUUUUGCUGGGAUCUGAAUACACAACAUCAACCCAAAAAAUGACCAAAACCAACAGAUGUGGAGCACUGGGAAGAGAAAUUAGUGCCAUAUACGGACCACGGACACACCUGAUCC